UCAGUAAAGGUAUGAGGUAAGAUCCUCAGCUGAGAAGUGAAGGCUGAAAGUGAAGAGAAAGUUGGGAACAUCAAUUGUGGAGAGAGGACCAACAACAAGAAUGAAAGAAUUACCUCACUGAGGUAAGGACCCAAGUAAGAUUAGCUAACAGAUUGACAGUGGAUCUAGUAAGCACAAUUGGGUGACUUCCUGAUCUCUCAUAAGAAUUGAUAGGACAAAGGAUGUAAGGAGAGAGGACAAAGUGAAAACAAACUAGUCUGCUCCAAGAUCAAGAUUGGAAGGGAGGAAAAUAAAGCCAGAACAAGGGAAAUGACCUAGGGACUAAGGGAGGCAGGGGAAGGAGGUCAUGCCAAUUGGGAGUGAUAAGUUUCAAUUGUUUAGAUCUCACUUUAUUUGUGUGAAAAAGUGGUUUGUAAUUGUGUUCAUAUAAUUCCUGUGUUUGGCUUGGCAAAAAGAUCCCCAAGGAUUUGAUAUGUCUAGAGUGAUUUUAAAUGGAAUUUCUCUUUCUAACUCUUGCCGCUGGACUUUGUUAGAAACAUAUAGAAAUGCUGAAGAUUUGUGUGGAUUUAUUUUGUAUCCUGGCACUUUGCUAAGGUUAUUAUUUCAACUAGUUUUUUAAUUGAUUCUCUAGGAUUCUUUAACUAUACUGUCAUAUCAUCUGCAAAUAGUGUUAGUUUAGUUGAGGAAUAAGUUUCAGAAGAGUGAAGCAGAGGGAGAGAUGGAAUAAUGGGAGAUUAGAAGCAGAUAAAGCAUUUCCAGAUUUUGGGAACACUCGUGGGUAACAGUAAGAGCAAAGGUGUCCCCAUCCAUCCCUGGGUGAGACCAGAGUGAGGGAGAGGAGGAGGAGGCAAUCAUGGCAAUUGAGGAGCCGGAGAAAUUAGGAGGUCAGAGUGUUUGGGAGAAUAUCCAUAUGCACAUUGAAGCCUCCUGGAAUAGGGUUGGAUGGCAAGGCAGUGAGAAAGGCUGCACUGCUGGGGAUGCUACUGUGAGCACAGCUUUGGAGCUGUCCAGAU
This 1013-nucleotide long non-coding RNA is filed under the name Monodelphis domestica (gray short-tailed opossum). RNAcentral's name for it is "lncRNA (ENSMODG00000040986.1)". Lineage: Eukaryota; Metazoa; Chordata; Mammalia; Didelphimorphia; Didelphidae. The record is from RNAcentral.